This 333-nucleotide small nuclear RNA is filed under the name Carlito syrichta (Philippine tarsier). RNAcentral's name for it is "7SK RNA (ENSTSYG00000019693.2)". It matches the Rfam family "7SK RNA". Rfam says of the family: 7SK was discovered as an abundant small nuclear RNA in the mid-70s but a possible function has only recently been suggested. The record is from RNAcentral. Lineage: Eukaryota; Metazoa; Chordata; Mammalia; Primates; Tarsiidae.
AGACACGAGGGUGAUCUGGCCGUGGGAUCUGGCACCCCACUGAUUGCCAGAGUUGACUCGUCUGAUUUGGCUGGCUAGGUAGGUAUCCUCUUCCUCCCUUACUGCUCUAUGUGCUGCCUUCUCGAAGCUGCACACUUGGUCGAAGAGGAUGACCAUCCCUGUUCUUUGGUCAAGGGUACAUGAACAGCUGUGUUCCCCUGCUAGAACCUUCAAACAAGCUCUCAAGAUAAUGCCAAAACAAUUAUAAAAAAGGGGAAAAAAAAGUAAAAAUCUAGAAGGACUGUGCACUCAUUGAUUUCCAAGUGUUUAAGCUCUUCUUCAGUCUUAGAAAAU